UGUAACAAGCCACCAUCACUUCGGGCCUC
Molecule: small RNA, 29 nt
Filed under: Bombyx mori (domestic silkworm)
Lineage: Eukaryota; Metazoa; Arthropoda; Insecta; Lepidoptera; Bombycidae
Description: ovarian small RNA-35297
Source: RNAcentral